AGCUCGGGGAGUGGUGGUCUCCCUUUCCUGGAGUCAUUUGUGGGAGUUAGGGUCUUAUCCUGAUCUUUCCUCGUCCCCCGCUCCCCCGUCCUCCGAGGUGGCAGCUGCGUAGGUAUUUAAUUUGCCUCCCGCCCCGCCGCCCCCCACGGCUAUAGCUGGUUUGAUAAUCCUGGAGCUCUCAAAUAUCCAAAGAGUUGGAAGUGUACUCUAUUAGGAUUUUGACAAGUCCCAUACACUGAUCAGAGAAGUCUGGAACGUUUUUUCUUAGAGUUCCAGAAUUGAGACUGAAGUGUACCCAGAGACACAAAGAAAUACAGAAGUCCAGAAUGAUCAAAUGAGAUCACUACCCAAUGAAAUGAUGGGCCGAGGAGCCAGAAGUUGUCCUACUACCUGCUUUCCAGGUCCAGAUUCCACGAGAGCCUUCUGGGCUCCCACCAGAGACCCUCAGUGAAGACUCUGUUGAAGACUUUAAGACCAUGCUAGAAAGCCUCCCGGCAGAGGUUCAGGAAGUUCUGCUAUGAGGAUGCAGCUGGCCCCAGGGAUGUCCUCAGGCAUCUCUAGGACCUUGCUGGACGGUGGUGGCUGAGACCUGAUAUCCACACAAAGGAGCAGACUGUGGAAAUGCUGGUGCAGGAGCAAUUCCAGGCUGUCCUGCCCGAGGAGCUCAGAGCUCAAGCACAGAGAUGUCAGCCUGGAAUCAGAAUCACUGGCUAAGUCUUGCUGCUUGCUUCUUGCUCAGCCUGCAUAUGAGAAGUCAACCAAGCAUUCUCUUGGAUGCAAGAUCCAACUGCACCCAUGGGAAAUCUGAACUUCCACUUUCUUUGAGCUUGUCUUUGGUUGUAAUAAGAAUCCAUCAAAACCCAUGUCUGGAUCUCUCUUUGGCUGAGGCAGCUUUAUUUCCUACAGAAAGAGUUUCUCUGUCCUCUUGUUAGGACAAUCAGCCUGCUGCUUUGGGCUUUUCCAAGAGCCUAUUUUUCAUCUGCUGGAUGCCUCUUUUUUUUUUUUUUUUUUUUUUUGCACUGUGUGACAUGCUUUAAUAUAUAUAUUUUUUAUGUAUCCAAAGAGGUAAUCAACUUUAACUUUCAGAAUUCAUGAAUCUUGGUUUGGUGGCAUGAAUGAAAGGUUAUGUAACCCCACCAGUAACUCAUUUGGGGUGCCCUUGAAAUAUUAAAGUUUGGUCCUCAAUAAA
Molecule: long non-coding RNA, 1189 nt
Filed under: Homo sapiens (human)
Lineage: Eukaryota; Metazoa; Chordata; Mammalia; Primates; Hominidae
Description: long intergenic non-protein coding RNA 339
Source: RNAcentral